GACGUAGGGGGCCAGCGUUGUUCGGAAUUACUGGGUGUAAAGGGUUCGUAGGCGGUGUGGCAAGUCAGGAGUGAAAUCUCUGGGCUCAACCCCGAGCGGUCGUGAGAAACUGGCAGGCUAGAGUGCGGGAGAGGAGAGUGGAAUUCCUGGUGUAGCGGUGAAAUGCGCAGAUAUCAGGAAGAACACCCGUGGCGAAGGCGGCUCUCUGGAACGCAACUGACGCUGAGACGCGAAAGCGUGGGGAGCAAACAGG
RNAcentral lists this ribosomal RNA (253 nucleotides) under uncultured bacterium. RNAcentral describes it as "partial 16S ribosomal RNA". It matches the Rfam family "Bacterial small subunit ribosomal RNA", at positions 524 to 776 of the family's 1533-position model. The record is from RNAcentral.